UACGUAGGGUGCAAGCGUUGUCCGGAAUUAUUGGGCGUAAAGAGCUCGUAGGCGGUUUGUCGCGUCGGCUGUGAAAACUCGGGGCUCAACCCCGAGCCUGCAGUCGAUACGGGCAGACUAGAGUGCUGUAGGGGAGACUGGAAUUCCUGGUGUAGCGGUGAAAUGCGCAGAUAUCAGGAGGAACACCGGUGGCGAAGGCGGAUCUCUGGGCCGUAACUGACGCUGAGGAGCGAAAGCAUGGGGAGCGAACAGG
RNAcentral lists this ribosomal RNA (253 nucleotides) under uncultured bacterium. Its description in RNAcentral is "partial 16S ribosomal RNA". It matches the Rfam family "Bacterial small subunit ribosomal RNA", at positions 524 to 776 of the family's 1533-position model. The record is from RNAcentral.